RNAcentral lists this unclassified non-coding RNA (314 nucleotides) under plant metagenome. RNAcentral's name for it is "partial contains 5.8S ribosomal RNA, internal transcribed spacer 2, and large subunit ribosomal RNA". The stretch from base 1 to 105 matches the Rfam family "5.8S ribosomal RNA", at positions 50 to 154 of the family's 154-position model. The record is from RNAcentral.
GAAAUGCGAUAAUUAAUGUGAAUUGCAGAAUUCAGUGAAUCAUCGAGUCUUUGAACGCACAUUGCGCCCCCUGGUAUUCCGGGGGGCAUGCCUGUCCGAGCGUCAUUUCUGCCCUCAAGCACGGCUUGUGUGUUGGGCUUCCGUCCCUGGCAACGGGGACGGGCCCAAAAGGCAGUGGCGGCACCAUGUCUGGUCCUCGAGCGUAUGGGGCUUUGUCACCCGCUCCCGUAGGUCCAGCUGGCAGCUAGCCUCGCAACCAAUCUUUUUAACCAGGUUGACCUCGGAUCAGGUAGGGAUACCCGCUGAACUUAAGC